UACGGAGGGUGCAAGCGUUAUCCGGAUUCACUGGGUUUAAAGGGUGCGUAGGUGGGCAAGUAAGUCAGUGGUGAAAUCUCCGGGCUUAACCCGGAAACUGCCAUUGAUACUAUUUGUCUUGAAUACUGUGGAGGUCAGCGGAAUAUGUCAUGUAGCGGUGAAAUGCUUAGAUAUGACAUAGUACACCAAUUGCGAAGGCAGCUGGCUACACAAAUAUUGACACUGAGGCACGAAAGCGUGGGGAUCAAACAGG
This 253-nucleotide ribosomal RNA is filed under the name uncultured bacterium. RNAcentral describes it as "partial 16S ribosomal RNA". It matches the Rfam family "Bacterial small subunit ribosomal RNA", at positions 524 to 776 of the family's 1533-position model. The record is from RNAcentral.